ACGCUGUAAGCGAUGAUUACUCGUUGUUGGCAAUACAUCGUCAGCGACUGAGCGAAAGCAUUAAGUAAUCCACCUGGGGAGUACGAUCGCAAGAUUGAAACUCAAAGGAAUUGACGGGGGCCCGCACAAGCGGAGGAACAUGUGGUUUAAUUCGAUGAUACGCGAGGACCCUUACCUGGGCUUAAAUGCAAGACGACGGACCGGGAAACUGGUCUUUCUUCGGACGGAUUGCAAGGUGCUGCAUGGCUGUCGUCAGCUCGUGCCGUGAGGUGUCGGGUUAAGUCCCAUAACGAGCGCAACCCUCAUCAUUAGUUGCCAGCGGGUAAUGCCGGGGACUCUAAUGAAACUGCCGGUGUAAACCGAGAGGAAGGUGGGGAUGACGUCAAGUCAGCACGGCCCUUAUGUCCAGGGCUACACACGUGUUACAAUGGCCAGUACAAAGGGCAGCUACCUGGUGACAGGAUGCUAAUCUCUAAAACUGGUCUCAGUUCGGAUCGAAGUCUGCAACUCGACUUCGUGAAGUUGGAUUCGCUAGUAAUCGCGCAUCAGCCAUGGCGCGGUGAAUACGUUCCCGGGCCUUGUACACACCGCCCGUCAAGCCAUGGAAGCCGGGCGUACCUGAAGUUCGUAACCGCAAGGAGCGAC
Molecule: ribosomal RNA, 645 nt
Filed under: uncultured Bacteroidota bacterium
Lineage: Bacteria; Pseudomonadati; Bacteroidota
Description: bacterial SSU rRNA
Rfam family: Bacterial small subunit ribosomal RNA
Source: RNAcentral